CCCCUGGUAGUUCAGUGGUCAGAACUCUGCACUUUCACUGCUGAGGUUACAGGGUUAAAUCCCUGGUCAGGUUA
This 74-nucleotide transfer RNA is filed under the name Ovis aries (sheep). It matches the Rfam family "tRNA". From Rfam's summary of the family: Transfer RNA (tRNA) molecules are approximately 80 nucleotides in length. Their secondary structure includes four short double-helical elements and three loops (D, anti-codon, and T loops). Further hydrogen bonds mediate the characteristic L-shaped molecular structure. tRNAs have two regions of fundamental functional importance: the anti-codon, which is responsible for specific mRNA codon recognition, and the 3' end, to which the tRNAs corresponding amino acid is attached (by aminoacyl-tRNA synthetases). tRNAs cope with the degeneracy of the genetic code in two manners: having more than one tRNA (with a specific anti-codon) for a particular amino acid; and 'wobble' base-pairing, i.e. permitting non-standard base-pairing at the 3rd anti-codon position. Lineage: Eukaryota; Metazoa; Chordata; Mammalia; Artiodactyla; Bovidae. The record is from Rfam by way of RNAcentral.